This 766-nucleotide ribosomal RNA is filed under the name uncultured Acidobacteriota bacterium. RNAcentral's name for it is "bacterial SSU rRNA". It matches the Rfam family "Bacterial small subunit ribosomal RNA", at positions 75 to 820 of the family's 1533-position model. The record is from RNAcentral. Lineage: Bacteria; Pseudomonadati; Acidobacteriota.
CCCCUUCGGGGGACUAGUAGAGUGGCGCACGGGUGAGUAACACGUAGGUAAUCUACCUUCGGGCGGGGAAUAACAACCGGAAACGGUUGCUAAUACCGCAUAAUGCAGCGGCACCUAAUGGUGACAGUUGUUAAAGCGGGGGAUCGCAAGACCUCGCACCUGAAGAGGAGCCUGCGGCGGAUUAGCUAGUUGGUAGGGUAACAGCCUACCAAGGCAACGAUCCGUAGCCGGCCUGAGAGGGCGGUCGGCCACACUGACACUGAUAUACGGGUCAGACUCCUACGGGAGGCAGCAGUCGGGAAUUUUGGGCAAUGGGCGAAAGCCUGACCCAGCAACGCCGCGUGAAGGAUGAAAUCCCUCGGGAUGUAAACUUCGCAAGAACGGGAAGAAUAAGUCGGUGUGAAUAUCACCGGCGAUGACGGUACCGUUUGUAAGCUCCGGCUAACUCCGUGCCAGCAGCCGCGGUAAUACGGGGGGAGCAAGCGUUGUUCGGAUUUACUGGGCGUAAAGGGCGCGUAGGCGGCCUCCGCAAGUCAAUUGUGAAAUCUCCGGGCUUAACUCGGAAAGGUCAACUGAUACUGCGGGGCUAGAGUGCGGAAGGGGCAACUGGAAUUCUCGGUGUAGCGGUGAAAUGCGUAGAUAUCGAGAGGAACACCUGCGGCGAAGGCGGGUUGCUGGGCCGACACUGACGCUGAGGCGCGAAAGCUAGGGGAGCGAACGGGAUUAGAUACCCCGGUAGUCCUAGCCUUAAACGAUGAAUGCUUGG